RNAcentral lists this ribosomal RNA (425 nucleotides) under uncultured bacterium. RNAcentral describes it as "partial 16S ribosomal RNA". It matches the Rfam family "Bacterial small subunit ribosomal RNA", at positions 354 to 796 of the family's 1533-position model. The record is from RNAcentral.
GUGGGGAAUAUUGGACAAUGGGCGCAAGCCUGAUCCAGCCAUGCCGCGUGAGUGAUGAAGGCCCUAGGGUUGUAAAGCUCUUUCACCGGUGAAGAUAAUGACGGUAACCGGAGAAGAAGCCCCGGCUAACUUCGUGCCAGCAGCCGCGGUAAUACGAAGGGGGCUAGCGUUGUUCGGAAUUACUGGGCGUAAAGCGCACGUAGGCGGACAUUUAAGUCAGGGGUGAAAUCCCGGGGCUCAACCCCGGAACUGCCUUUGAUACUGGGUGUCUGGAGUAUGGAAGAGGUAAGUGGAAUUCCGAGUGUAGAGGUGAAAUUCGUAGAUAUUCGGAAGAACACCGGUGGCGAAGGCGACUCACUGGCCCAAUACUGACGCUGAGGCGCGAAAGCGUGGGGAGCAAACAGGAUUAGAAACCCCUGUAGUCC